UCAGCCACAUGGGGACUGAGACACGGCCCAAACUCCUACGGGGAGGCAGCAGUGGGGAAUAUUGGACAAUGGGCGCAAGCCUGAUCCAGCCAUGCCGCGUGAGUGAUGACGGCCUUAGGGUUGUAAAGCUCUUUCGCUCGGGACGAUAAUGACGGUACCGAGAUAAGAAGCCCCGGCUAACUUCGUGCCAGCAGCCGCGGUAAUACGAAGGGGGCUAGCGUUGUUCGGAAUUACUGGGCGUAAAGCGCGUGUAGGCGGGUCUUUAAGUCAGGGGUGAAAUGCCAAGGCUCAACCUUGGAACUGCCUUUGAUACUGGAGAUCUUGAGUCCGGGAGAGGUGAGUGGAAUUGCGAGUGUAGAGGUGAAAUUCGUAGAUAUUCGCAAGAACACCAGUGGCGAAGGCGGCUCACUGGCCCGGAACUGACGCUGAGACGCGAAAGCGUGGGGAGCAAACAGGAUUAGAUACCCUGGUAGUCCACGCUGUAAACGAUGGAUGCUAGCCGUUGGGGAGCUUGCUCUUCAGUGGCGCAGCUAACGCUUUAAGCAUCCCGCCUGGGGAGUACGGUCGCAAGAUUAAAACUCAAAGGAAUUGACG
Molecule: ribosomal RNA, 594 nt
Filed under: uncultured Alphaproteobacteria bacterium
Lineage: Bacteria; Pseudomonadati; Pseudomonadota; Alphaproteobacteria
Description: SSU rRNA
Rfam family: Bacterial small subunit ribosomal RNA
Source: RNAcentral